AGACUUGGAUCAAUUAGCAAACUUUCUCGGACACGAUAUUCGAAUUCAUCGGGAAUACUAUCGCCUUCCUGAAAAGACUUUACAGCUUGCAAAAGUCAGCAAAGUCCUUAUGGCUCUAGAACAAGGAAGAGUUGGCCAAUUUAAGGGCAAGAAUUUGGAUGAGAUCACUAUUGACCCAAAUGAGGAGAUGGAGUUAAAUAAUGAAGUGAUGAGCGAGGAGGGUGAAAACUGUGAAGAACACGAAGAUACACAGGCAAAUGUGUGUGCACCACCAUUAGACACUGAAGUUGUGACCACAGUGAAUAUGAAGCAUUCUCUUGAAAG
Long non-coding RNA from Clarias gariepinus (North African catfish), 324 nucleotides. RefSeq lists it as uncharacterized. The record is from RefSeq and is a predicted model, not a curated record. The transcript has 3 exons. Lineage: Eukaryota; Metazoa; Chordata; Actinopteri; Siluriformes; Clariidae.